ACGCUCGACACCUACGGGAGGCAGCAGUGGGGAAUAUUGCACAAUGGGGGAAACCCUGAUGCAGCAACGCCGCGUGAAGGAAGAAGGUUUUCGGAUCGUAAACUUCUAUCAAUAGGGAAGAAAGAAAUGACGGUACCUAAAUAAGAAGCCCCGGCUAACUACGUGCCAACAGCCGCGGUAAUCUGAGCGGGCUGGCAAGGC
Molecule: ribosomal RNA, 201 nt
Filed under: uncultured bacterium
Lineage: Bacteria
Description: partial 16S ribosomal RNA
Rfam family: Bacterial small subunit ribosomal RNA
Source: RNAcentral